CGGUGCAGUCGGGCUGCGAGGGGCGGCGGCGCCGCCGGCACCGGCACCGGCACCGGCACCGCGGGGGUGUCGCACAACGGCGAUAUGACUGCCUGCUGCGGGGAAGCCCUGCUCUGCACCCAGAGGGGUGAGAGGGGCCCCCAAAGUGGCACUCGGAGCGCUCACGUGGCUGGUGGCGGCAGGUCGUGGAGUUUUGGGAGCCGGGAGCUCACCAGCCCUGCCGACUGCCCGCUGCCCGGCUGGUCGGAGCAGGAGGGGCCGGGGAGCCUGCAGGUGCCCCGGGCCAGGGCCGGCUGGGGGACGCCCCAGAGCCGCCAAAGCAGGGCGCGGGCUGCCGAGAGGGCUGGCGGGGCUGGAUUCAUUGUUCUUGGAAGAAGCUGGGACAUUUGGAAGCGGGCGACGUUUCCUCCCCGAGCUGCGGCGCAGUGGCAAGCCGGUGAGCGGCUGUGGGAAGGAAGGAAGGAAGACUGGAAGAACACAAGAAGAGCAAGUCACUUGUUGGACUUGGAUUUUUUCCUGGCCGCCUCCUAAUGGCCGGAAGCCGGUUUCCAGUGUCGCGCUAGCCUUGGAUGCCCUUGGCCAUAUAUAGUUCUGCUUCAGCCCUUUCUCCGUGCCGUCGGGCUGCCGGCAGCCCCACAUGCCUCCUCCCUCCUCUCCAACACUUGGACAUUUUCACUGCGUUGCGCUCCAUCCCGUCUGCCUGGGGCCUGGGGAGAACCGUGCAGCUACAAAGCCUGGCUGAAGCUCACCGGCUGUCGGAGGUGGCAGGGGAAGGAUUAAGGGCUCGUUUCCUGUGGCUCCGGCAGCUGGGAGGGGAGCAAGGGGUGCAGCGAGCGGCCACGUGCGCAGUGGCACCGAGGCCGUGCCAGCCAGGACAGGCUGGGGACCCGCUCCUGAUGCCAGGGGAUGGAGGGUCCCUCCGGAUGGCAAAAUACUCCUGUGCCAGGUCGAAUAGCCUCAUCCCCCGGCUGAUAUUGGAGGUGCAGUGAGGUGGGGGGAGACAGGCCAUCCUGGGCACGGGUAACCAGGGCUGUGGGCAUGGCAGUGUGUGCAUGGACAGUACUCAUGCAUAAUAAUCUUAUUCUCUGCAAUUUCCUCUGGGCUGCCAGAGGGUCCAGUGCUUUCCAUCUGUGCAAUAAAAAUCAGAUGCUGAGAACGAU
Long non-coding RNA from Dromaius novaehollandiae (emu), 1160 nucleotides. RefSeq lists it as uncharacterized. The transcript has 2 exons. The record is from RefSeq and is a predicted model, not a curated record. Lineage: Eukaryota; Metazoa; Chordata; Aves; Casuariiformes; Dromaiidae.